Peromyscus leucopus (white-footed mouse) is the source of this 660-nucleotide long non-coding RNA. RefSeq lists it as uncharacterized. NCBI's taxonomy places the organism in Eukaryota, Metazoa, Chordata, Mammalia, Rodentia, Cricetidae. The record is from RefSeq and is a predicted model, not a curated record. The transcript has 3 exons.
GGGCCGAGCCGAGCCGAGCCGAGCCGAGCCGAGCGGCGGUACUCACAGACUUGGCGAUGGGGCAGCCCUGGGAGCUCUUCCCUUCUUUCCCCGUGUACUCUAUCUUCUCAAGCCGGACAGCCUUGCCCUUUUCGCCAAACCUGGGCUUGCUGUGUGAGGAGGGCAUGUUUGUUUCCAGUGCCCCGAGCUCCGGGGAGGAAGGACUCAGGAAGACCUAAGAACCAUCCAACUCACACUCCUGAACGUCUCCAUUCAUCUCAUGACGACGCCAAGACCUUGCCUCUGCAUGGACCCAGGUCCGCGGUGCGGAAGAGUUUUGGCGGGGGAACACAUCUCCUCACCUAGUCUCCAUGAGCUCCCUGAUAGCAGCAACACUCGGUCCUGCCCCCAGGACUAGCAAUUUAAGAUGGGGUCUCAGUAGAGCCUCGACUCGGUGACAGCCAAGGUGAUCUUGAACUCCUUCCUGAUGAGCCUGACUCUACUGCCAAAGGUCUGGGAUUACACACAGCUCUUCUGCCUGGGUAGUUUUCUAUAGUAACUGUGGACAAAGAGCAAUAAAUCUGAUAGAGUCAGCCUCAGUAUCCAAAGUGAUGCCGGAAAAAGUUAGCCUACUACAUUUCCACAGUUAUGUAUUUAUAAUAAAGGCGUACAAGAAAGUUA